UUAAGUUAUUAAGGGCGCACGGUGGAUGCCUUGGCACUAGAAGCCGAUGAAGGACGUUACUAACGACGAUAUGCUUUGGGGAGCUGUAAGUAAGCUUUGAUCCAGAGAUUUCCGAAUGGGGAAACCCAGCAUGAGUUAUGUCAUGUUAUCGAUAUGUGAAUACAUAGCAUAUCAGAAGGCACACCCGGAGAACUGAAACAUCUUAGUACCCGGAGGAAGAGAAAGAAAAUUCGAUUCCCUUAGUAGCGGCGAGCGAAACGGGAAGAGCCCAAACCAACAAGCUUGCUUGUUGGGGUUGUAGGACACUCUGUACGGAGUUACAAAGGACGACAUUAGACGAAUCAUCUGGAAAGAUGAAUCAAAGAAGGUAAUAAUCCUGUAGUCGAAAAUGUUGUCUCUCUUGAGUGGAUCCUGAGUACGACGGAGCACGUGAAAUUCCGUCGGAAUCUGGGAGGACCAUCUCCUAAGGCUAAAUACUCUCUAGUGACCGAUAGUGAACCAGUACCGUGAGGGAAAGGUGAAAAGCACCCCGGAAGGGGAGUGAAAUAGAACCUGAAACCGUGUGCUUACAAGUAGUCAGAGCCCGUUAAUGGGUGAUGGCGUGCCUUUUGUAGAAUGAACCGGCGAGUUACGAUUUGAUGCAAGGUUAAGCAGUAAAUGUGGAGCCGUAGCGAAAGCGAGUCUGAAUAGGGCGUUUAGUAUUUGGUCGUAGACCCGAAACCAGGUGAUCUACCCUUGGUCAGGUUGAAGUUCAGGUAACACUGAAUGGAGGACCGAACCGACUUACGUUGAAAAGUGAGCGGAUGAACUGAGGGUAGCGGAGAAAUUCCAAUCGAACCUGGAGAUAGCUGGUUCUCUCCGAAAUAGCUUUAGGGCUAGCCUCAAGUGAUGAUUAUUGGAGGUAGAGCACUGUUUGGACGAGGGGCCCCUCUCGGGUUACCGAAUUCAGACAAACUCCGAAUGCCAAUUAAUUUAACUUGGGAGUCAGAACAUGGGUGAUAAGGUCCGUGUUCGAAAGGGAAACAGCCCAGACCACCAGCUAAGGUCCCAAAAUAUAUGUUAAGUGGAAAAGGAUGUGGCGUUGCCCAGACAACUAGGAUGUUGGCUUAGAAGCAGCCAUCAUUUAAAGAGUGCGUAAUAGCUCACUAGUCGAGUGACACUGCGCCGAAAAUGUACCGGGGCUAAACAUAUUACCGAAGCUGUGGAUUGUCCUUUGGACAAUGGUAGGAGAGCGUUCUAAGGGCGUUGAAGCAUGAUCGUAAGGACAUGUGGAGCGCUUAGAAGUGAGAAUGCCGGUGUGAGUAGCGAAAGACGGGUGAGAAUCCCGUCCACCGAUUGACUAAGGUUUCCAGAGGAAGGCUCGUCCGCUCUGGGUUAGUCGGGUCCUAAGCUGAGGCCGACAGGCGUAGGCGAUGGAUAACAGGUUGAUAUUCCUGUACCACCUAUAAUCGUUUUAAUCGAUGGGGGGACGCAGUAGGAUAGGCGAAGCGUGCGAUUGGAUUGCACGUCUAAGCAGUAAGGCUGAGUAUUAGGCAAAUCCGGUACUCGUUAAGGUUGAGCUGUGAUGGGGAGAAGACAUUGUGUCUUCGAGUCGUUGAUUUCACACUGCCGAGAAAAGCCUCUAGAUAGAAAAUAGGUGCCCGUACCGCAAACCGACACAGGUAGUCAAGAUGAGAAUUCUAAGGUGAGCGAGCGAACUCUCGUUAAGGAACUCGGCAAAAUGACCCCGUAACUUCGGGAGAAGGGGUGCUCUUUAGGGUUAACGCCCAGAAGAGCCGCAGUGAAUAGGCCCAAGCGACUGUUUAUCAAAAACACAGGUCUCUGCUAAACCGUAAGGUGAUGUAUAGGGGCUGACGCCUGCCCGGUGCUGGAAGGUUAAGAGGAGUGGUUAGCUUCUGCGAAGCUACGAAUCGAAGCCCCAGUAAACGGCGGCCGUAACUAUAACGGUCCUAAGGUAGCGAAAUUCCUUGUCGGGUAAGUUCCGACCCGCACGAAAGGCGUAACGAUUUGGGCACUGUCUCAACGAGAGACUCGGUGAAAUCAUAGUACCUGUGAAGAUGCAGGUUACCCGCGACAGGACGGAAAGACCCCGUGGAGCUUUACUGUAGCCUGAUAUUGAAAUUCGGCACAGCUUGUACAGGAUAGGUAGGAGCCUUUGAAACGUGAGCGCUAGCUUACGUGGAGGCGCUGGUGGGAUACUACCCUAGCUGUGUUGGCUUUCUAACCCGCACCACUUAUCGUGGUGGGAGACAGUGUCAGGCGGGCAGUUUGACUGGGGCGGUCGCCUCCUAAAAGGUAACGGAGGCGCUCAAAGGUUCCCUCAGAAUGGUUGGAAAUCAUUCAUAGAGUGUAAAGGCAUAAGGGAGCUUGACUGCGAGACCUACAAGUCGAGCAGGGUCGAAAGACGGACUUAGUGAUCCGGUGGUUCCGCAUGGAAGGGCCAUCGCUCAACGGAUAAAAGCUACCCCGGGGAUAACAGGCUUAUCUCCCCCAAGAGUUCACAUCGACGGGGAGGUUUGGCACCUCGAUGUCGGCUCAUCGCAUCCUGGGGCUGUAGUCGGUCCCAAGGGUUGGGCUGUUCGCCCAUUAAAGCGGUACGCGAGCUGGGUUCAGAACGUCGUGAGACAGUUCGGUCCCUAUCCGUCGUGGGCGUAGGAAAUUUGAGAGGAGCUGUCCUUAGUACGAGAGGACCGGGAUGGACAUACCUCUGGUGUACCAGUUGUCGUGCCAACGGCAUAGCUGGGUAGCUAUGUGUGGACGGGAUAAGUGCUGAAAGCAUCUAAGCAUGAAGCCCCCCUCAAGAUGAGAUUUCCCAACUUCGGUUAUAAGAUCCCUCAAAGAUGAUGAGGUUAAUAGGUUCGAGGUGGAAGCAUGGUGACAUGUGGAGCUGACGAAUACUAAUCGAUCGAAGACUUAAUCAA
Molecule: ribosomal RNA, 2921 nt
Filed under: Staphylococcus aureus
Lineage: Bacteria; Bacillati; Bacillota; Bacilli; Caryophanales; Staphylococcaceae
Description: bacterial LSU rRNA
Rfam family: Bacterial large subunit ribosomal RNA
Source: RNAcentral